UGCAAAGCAAGCUGCCCCCAAAUUUGGUGGCUUAAAGUAAUGAUGAUUUAUUAUUUCUCAAGUUUUGUAGGUUGGUCUUACCUGGGCUCAUUCAUGUCUGCAUUCAGCUGGAGGCUCAGCUGGACUGGAAGAUCCAAGAUGGCUUCGGUCACAUGUCCAGCAGCUGGUGCUGGCUGUCAACUGGGCUAUCAGUUCUUCUCUGUGUGGCCUCCUAUGCUCCAGUAAGCUAGUCUGGCUUCCUUACAAGGCAGUCUUGGGGCAGUGUUUACAAAAUAAAACAUCAGUUUAACACAAAGAAGGUAAAGCAAAUGAUUCAUAGCCAAUGAUCACCUUGACAAGUUGUAAACUUCAGGAAAAAGAACAAAAACACAAGGAAUUUGUGUUAAGUUCUCUUGAGUUCUUUUCCAUAAUAUUAAGGAUCAGCCACCCCAGAGAUACCACUCUGGGAGAUGUGGAAAUUUAUCAAUACUGUUUCUAAUAGUAUUAAGUAAGAAAAGAAGUUAUUGUGGCAAAAAUAUCUCAAACAGGAAACCUUAACCUUGAGGUCUGUGAACACCUGACAUUUGUGUAUUGGCUCAGUUACUGAGAAUGUUCACAGCUCUUCUCAGAGCUUCAACAAGAAUCCUAAAAAUGGGGGCCGGCCCUGUUUUUGAGUGGUUACGUUCGCAAACAACUUGUCUUUAGUUCACAGGUCUUCAGAUCAAGAAGUGUACUGUAUUUUAGUUGCGGUACUUAAGGAACUACCCCUAAGAAGCCUCAUCCACACCUAGAUCUGAUUUGGAUGAUAGAUCUUGGGCUUUGAGCUGAUGCUAUAAUGGGAUAAAAUUUCUGGAAGACUUGGGAGGAGCAUUUCCUCCAGCCCCAGAGAAGCCUUUAGAUGACUACAACUUCUUGUCUGCAACCUCAUUAGAGACUCUGGCACCAGACCCACCCAAGUCAAGCUAUUCCUGAAUUCCUGAGCCUCAGAAACUAUGAGAUAAUAAAGAUGGAAAAACAGACAUGUAGAAAAGCUCCCAAAAUGCGGCAAGUUGCUUUUGGAAUGAAGAAAAGGAAAAUCUAACUUUUAAUUGAUAACAUAGUGUUAAGAUGUGAUAUAGCUAGACACACCAGAAGGUAUU
Long non-coding RNA from Equus quagga, 1118 nucleotides. RefSeq lists it as uncharacterized. The transcript has 3 exons. The record is from RefSeq and is a predicted model, not a curated record. Lineage: Eukaryota; Metazoa; Chordata; Mammalia; Perissodactyla; Equidae.